This 496-nucleotide ribosomal RNA is filed under the name uncultured bacterium. RNAcentral's name for it is "partial 16S ribosomal RNA". It matches the Rfam family "Bacterial small subunit ribosomal RNA", at positions 28 to 506 of the family's 1533-position model. The record is from RNAcentral.
GACGAACGCUGGCGGCGUGCCUAAUACAUGCAAGUUGAGCGAUGAAGAUUGGUGCUUGCACCAAUUUGAAGAGCAGCGAACGGGUGAGUAACGCGUGGGGAAUCUGCCUUUGAGCGGGGGACAACAUUUGGAAACGAAUGCUAAUACCGCAUAAUAACUUUAAACAUAAGCUUUAAGUUUGAAAGAUGCAAUUGCAUCACUCAAAGAUGAUCCCGCGUUGUAUUAGCUAGUUGGUGAGGUAAAGGCUCACCAAGGCGAUGAUACAUAGCCGACCUGAGAGGGUGAUCGGCCACAUUGGGACUGAGACACGGCCCAAACUCCUACGGGAGGCAGCAGUAGGGAAUCUUCGGCAAUGGACGAAAGUCUGACCGAGCAACGCCGCGUGAGUGAAGAAGGUUUUCGGAUCGUAAAACUCUGUUGGUAGAGAAGAACGUUGGUGAGAGUGGAAAGCUCAUCAAGUGACGGUAACUACCCAGAAAGGGACGGCUAACUACGU